This 289-nucleotide unclassified non-coding RNA is filed under the name rhizosphere metagenome. Its description in RNAcentral is "partial ribosomal RNA internal transcribed spacer region". The record is from RNAcentral.
GUAGGUGAACCUGCGGAAGGAUCAUUAUUGAAUAAAUUUAAUAGGUUGUAGCUGGCUCUUUUGGAGCAUGUGCACGCCUGUUAUUUUAUCUUCUCCACCUGUGCACUAUUUGUAGACUUGGAUAUCUCUCGAGGAAACUCGGUUAGGAUCUGCUGUGCCCCAAAGGCCAGCUUGUCUUUACAUUUCCAGUCUAUGUUUUACAUACACCAUAUCUAUGUCAUUGAAUGUUCAAUUGGCUUAUAGCCUAUAAACAUAAAUACAACUUUCAGCAACGGAUCUCUUGGCUCUC